This is a long non-coding RNA of Nothoprocta perdicaria, 423 nucleotides long. RefSeq lists it as uncharacterized. The record is from RefSeq and is a predicted model, not a curated record. The transcript has 4 exons. Lineage: Eukaryota; Metazoa; Chordata; Aves; Tinamiformes; Tinamidae.
CCAUAUGUUUGAGUUCUGCUUUAUGAACAAGGGAAGAGGGCUAACAACUUGCCUGAACAGGUGAGUUAUCAUCAACCCAAAGGAGAAUUUCUAUCUUAAAGCCACUACAAGAAAGGAACACAAUAAAAGCUGUUCUGCUCGAGGCUGCUCUUCUGCUUUGUCUAUACUUUUCUAGUCCUAGUGGGUGAUGCCACAAGAUCUUUAACAUUCAGAUCCCCCAGUCCACUAGUUAACAGGCAGGAGCAUUUCAAAGAAAGCAUGGAUGACUAUGAUAUAAGGUCUGCUGCCAGCAUUUUAGCCUCCGUUAAGGAGCAGGAGGCGCGUUUUGAGCGGCUGACCCGGGCACUCGAGGAAGAGCGGCGCAAUGUCUCCCUGCAACUUGAGCGUGCCAAUCAGCCAGCAGACCGAAUGAGCAUUUGCAAC